RNAcentral lists this transfer RNA (87 nucleotides) under Gammaproteobacteria bacterium. Its description in RNAcentral is "tRNA-Leu". It matches the Rfam family "tRNA". Rfam says of the family: Transfer RNA (tRNA) molecules are approximately 80 nucleotides in length. Their secondary structure includes four short double-helical elements and three loops (D, anti-codon, and T loops). Lineage: Bacteria; Pseudomonadati; Pseudomonadota; Gammaproteobacteria. The record is from RNAcentral. RNAcentral also lists the same sequence under 3 other names.
GCCGGGAUGGCGGAACUGGUAGACGCGCCGGACUCAAAAUCCGGUUCUGGCGACAGAGUGUGGGUUCGAUUCCCUCUCCCGGCACCA